GGGGCUGUAGCUCAGUGGUAGAGCACUUGCCUCACAUGGGUGAGGCUCUGGGUUCGAUCCCCAGCACCA
This 69-nucleotide transfer RNA is filed under the name Ictidomys tridecemlineatus (thirteen-lined ground squirrel). Its description in RNAcentral is "Spermophilus tridecemlineatus (thirteen-lined ground squirrel) tRNA". It matches the Rfam family "tRNA". Rfam says of the family: Transfer RNA (tRNA) molecules are approximately 80 nucleotides in length. Their secondary structure includes four short double-helical elements and three loops (D, anti-codon, and T loops). Further hydrogen bonds mediate the characteristic L-shaped molecular structure. tRNAs have two regions of fundamental functional importance: the anti-codon, which is responsible for specific mRNA codon recognition, and the 3' end, to which the tRNAs corresponding amino acid is attached (by aminoacyl-tRNA synthetases). tRNAs cope with the degeneracy of the genetic code in two manners: having more than one tRNA (with a specific anti-codon) for a particular amino acid; and 'wobble' base-pairing, i.e. permitting non-standard base-pairing at the 3rd anti-codon position. The record is from Rfam by way of RNAcentral. Lineage: Eukaryota; Metazoa; Chordata; Mammalia; Rodentia; Sciuridae.